Molecule: long non-coding RNA, 311 nt
Organism: Magnolia sinica
Lineage: Eukaryota; Viridiplantae; Streptophyta; Magnoliopsida; Magnoliales; Magnoliaceae
Exons: 2
Source: RefSeq, a predicted model, not a curated record
GUUUCUUUUGCAUGUGCUCCUUGGACUCGGAUUGUGUAGUGUGGCACACAGCACCAAUGUCAGUACUGUGCACUAUUGGAAAAGCUGUGGGGCCCAUCAUGAUAAGGAAAAACAGAAGCAGGAAGGACACUGAAGUGGCAUAUGCAGAAGGACAGAGAAGUUUACAUUUUCUUCAUUCUUCUUUUCACUUCUCUGAUAUUCCAUUGUAUUAAAGAAGUCUUGUACUAAGAAAGAUUUGAUUCACAACUUAGAAAAUCACAAAGCAACAAUAUUUUUGUGAAUACAAAUUCCUCAUGUUUGAAGUAAUCAAA